RNAcentral lists this ribosomal RNA (229 nucleotides) under uncultured bacterium. Its description in RNAcentral is "partial 16S ribosomal RNA". It matches the Rfam family "Bacterial small subunit ribosomal RNA", at positions 568 to 796 of the family's 1533-position model. The record is from RNAcentral.
UGCGUAGGCGGCGUCAUAAGUCAGGGGUGAAAGCCCACAGCUCAACUGUGGAAUUGCCUUUGAUACUGUGGUGCUUGAAUCAGGUUGAGGUAGGCGGAAUGUGGCAUGUAGCGGUGAAAUGCUUAGAUAUGCCAUAGAACACCGAUUGCGAAGGCAGCUUACUGGACCUGCAUUGACGCUGAGGCACGAAAGCGUGUGGAGCGAACAGGAUUAGAUACCCUGGUAGUCC